This 439-nucleotide ribosomal RNA is filed under the name uncultured bacterium. RNAcentral's name for it is "partial 16S ribosomal RNA". It matches the Rfam family "Bacterial small subunit ribosomal RNA", at positions 339 to 795 of the family's 1533-position model. The record is from RNAcentral.
CUACGGGCUGCACCAGUGAGGAAUAUUGCACAAUGGGGGGAACCCUGAUGCAGCAACGCCGCGUGGAGGAUGACGCAUUUCGGUGUGUAAACUCCUUUUAUAUGUCAAGAAAAUGACGGUAGCAUAUGAAUAAGCACCGGCUAACUCCGUGCCAGCAGCCGCGGUAAUACGGAGGGUGCAAGCGUUACUCGGAAUCACUGGGCGUAAAGGACGCGUAGGCGGGUUGGAAAGUCAGGUGUGAAAUACUACAGCUUAACUGUAGAACUGCACUUGAAACUUCUAAUCUAGAGUAUGGGAGGGGGAGAUGGAAUUAGUGGUGUAGGGGUAAAAUCCGUAGAUAUCACUAGGAAUACCUAAAGCGAAGGCAAUCUCCUGGAACAUUACUGACGCUAAGGCGUGAAAGCGUGGGGAGCAAACAGGAUUAGAUACCCCGGUAGUC